AGGACCCUCAUGCUGGCCCUACCCCACCCCUUGACUCUGCUUCCUUACAGGCAGAUGAUGGCGGCUUGACUGAACAGAGUGUGGCCCAGGUUCUUCAGUCUGCCAAGGAACAAAUUAAAUGGUCGUUAUUGAAAUGAAGGCUGUGGAUUCAAGGCUCCCUGCCCCCCAGAUCAUUUCCCCAAUCCUGGCAAAAGCCCAAAGAUCCCAGGGUCAGGAGAGACCCCUCUGUAUCCCCAGGUCCCUCCCAGAACUGACUCCUAAGGUCUCCAGCCAGGGCUUCUGAGAUGCAAAGGUUUGGCCUCAGGAGAGUCACCUUUUCUCACGGCCCUGGCCUUAACUCAUAUCUUAGGCAUUCCUGGCCCCAGGGCCCUAAUAAACCUGCUUUUGUCUUCUG
RNAcentral lists this long non-coding RNA (394 nucleotides) under Homo sapiens (human). Its description in RNAcentral is "non-protein coding lnc-COPZ2-2:3". Lineage: Eukaryota; Metazoa; Chordata; Mammalia; Primates; Hominidae. The record is from RNAcentral.